Molecule: ribosomal RNA, 357 nt
Filed under: Rhodocollybia butyracea
Lineage: Eukaryota; Fungi; Basidiomycota; Agaricomycetes; Agaricales; Omphalotaceae
Description: eukaryotic LSU rRNA
Rfam family: Eukaryotic large subunit ribosomal RNA (bases 191-357)
Source: RNAcentral
GCAUUAGUGGAAUUUCCCGUUUGGUUGGUCCAUCUUAGGUGUGAUAAUUAUCUACGCUUUGCUUGGUUCAACUGUCAGGUGUGCUUAGGCUAGAUCCUGGUUGUGAUAUCGCAUUAAGUUGCUUUAUCUGAUUGUGGGAAAUUUAUCUGCUUUCUAACCGUCUGUUGUUUCAGACAAUUUAUUGACUAUUUGACCUCAAAUCAGGUAGGACUACCCGCUGAACUUAAGCAUAUCAAUAAGCGGAGGAAAAGAAACUAACAAGGAUUCCCCUAGUAACUGCGAGUGAAGAGGGAAAAGCUCAAAUUUAAAAUCUGGCAGUCUUUGAGAGUCCGAGUUGAAUUUAGAGAAGNUACCCGG